Mus musculus (house mouse) is the source of this 19859-nucleotide long non-coding RNA. RefSeq lists it as uncharacterized. The record is from RefSeq and is a predicted model, not a curated record. The transcript is spliced from 2 exons. Lineage: Eukaryota; Metazoa; Chordata; Mammalia; Rodentia; Muridae.
UAGUUUGGUUUGGUUUUUUGCCACCCCAAGGAUUCAACUUUCUUCUUUCCCUUUUUAUUCAGCCCUAGACGCCAGUCCAUAAGAUGGUGCCACCCCUCCCCCCCCCCCCACACACACACAAUUUUGGAUUCAAUCAGAUGGAGGACUAGGAACGAAGCCCGGAGCCUCUGGAGAAUGUUCACUGCUAGUAUACAGGAUGAACUCUUCAGAGGUCCUUGCCUGUCAUUGCCAUUUCAUCUCUUGACUCUGUCUCACCCACCUGCUCUCUGUCCUUCAGCCACACCUCCAUAUCUUUCCAUCCCUCGGACACACUGGGCAUUAAUCUGAGCUAAGAGAAACCCAGAUAGAUGAAAAAACAUCCAUUCCUUCCAGUUGUCUGUGAGGGUGCAUUUGUAAGAAGUUAGCAUCCGAAUCUACAGACUAUAAUUAUCAAACUCAUGCACUAGUUGAGACAUCUGUCUUCUACAUUUAGCCUUCAGAGUUUCUGGGUCUGGAGCCUGUGGUAUUGGAAUCUACAAUUCUUGGAGAUUUGGGGUUCAAUGGAACUGUACCACUAGCUUCUCUGGACUUUCACCUUCCAUACAGUGGUGUAUUAGUCAGGGUUCUCUAGAGUCACAGAACUUAUGGAAUGUCUCUAUAUAUUAAGGUAAUUUAUUGUAAUGACUUACAGUCUGCAAUCUAACCAACCCAACAAGGGGCAGCUGUGAAUGGGAAGUCCAAGAAUCUAGUAGUUUCUCAGUCCCACAAGGCUAGGUGUUUUACCCGGCCUUCUGUGUAAGCUGGAAUCCGGAAGAAGCAGGUUCCAACAGAUGUGCUGGCAAGUAAGUGCAAGCAGGCAGAGUGAGCCUUCCUUCUUCCACUGUCCUUAUGUAGGCCUCCAGCAGAAGGAAUGGACCAUAUUAAAGGUGUGGACCACCACACCUGGAUUUGGAACUUGCUCUAUCCCAAACUGGCCUUGAACUCAGAGAUCUGCUUGCCUCUGUUGCCUGGGAUUAAAAGCUUGUAAGGACCUUGCCUGGGCCUAAGCAUUUCAUGGCCACUAUGCCUCAAGGACUGGGUCAAAAGAUCAUGCCAUCCCAUGGUAAGAUCCAGGUCAGAAGCCUGUGUCUUUCAGCCUCAAGGUCUGGAUCACAGGUGAGCCCUCCAUUUCGGGAUUGUAGUUCAUUCCAGAUAGAGUCAAACUGACGACCAGGAAUAACCAUCCUAAGUGGACAGUGGGAAUUGUCUUCACCUUCAUCUGUAAGCCAACUGCUCCCCAAUAGUCAUCUUUCUAUGGCUCUGGUAAGCAUCUAAUAUACAGUCCACAAUCUUCCUUCUCUUAAGACAUCACAUGCUUUCCACAUUGUUCUUCUCAGCUGUCACUCAGCUUCUGGCCCCAUUCCAUGACCUACUUAACUAUCACCCUAAACAUCCCUUCCUCCAAGAAAAUUCUGUCUUAGGUCUGGGCUUCCUAUUCCCAGUAGCUUAUUGGAAUUGUCCCAUAAGUGUCUCCCAUCCUUCCAAACAGUGAUGUUCUGAUUGUAAGGACUAUGCUUCCUCUGUUUGCUGCUGUGGCAUGACCAUCUAGCACAGUGGUUCUCAACCUUCCAAAUGCUGCAACCCUCUAAUGCUGUCCCUCAUGUUGUGGUGACCCCCAACCAUAAGCUUAUUUCAUUGCUACUUCAUAACUGUGAUUUUGCUACUGGUAUGAAUCAUAAGGUAAAUAUCUGAUAUGCAAGAUAUAGGAUAUGUGACCCCCAAAUGGGUCUCAACAUACAAGUUGAGAACCUCUUUUCUAGCUUAGGGACUUUGAUAAAUGCAGAGAUGGAUGAAUGGACAACAUAAACAAAUGCUAAGGUUUGAUGACAGUCAAGUAAGAGACUUGCAGUCGUGUGGCUAAGCCUUUCUUUAUGAUGUGACAUGAUGUACAUGUGAGAAGGAAGGCGUGGCGUGACUUAGUGGGGAGGAAUGGAGUAGUUUCUCUCCAUCAUCUGUUUGUAACAAUUACCAACAUAUGAUCAAACUUGUUUUAGCUAUAACUCUUCCUUGCUGCGUUUGUUUUCCAGAGAAAUAGUUUGCAUGCCACAAAUCCUCCUUUAACAUUGUGCAAUCAGUCCAUGAGCCUGUAGGCCUAUCGUUACUCUAGCCCCCAGAUAUUUGUACUAUCCCCAGAAGACUCCUUUUAUGCUUUAGGCUUCAACUCCUUAUUCUGUACCCCUCUAGCCACUGGCAGUAACUAGUCUGUUUUUACUCUACAUGUGUUAGACUGUUCUGGACAUCUCACACAGAUAGAACACAUACAGUUUGCUCCCUCCAAUGAAUGACCAGCUUCUUCCAUUUAGUGCAUUACAGAUUGAAUGAGCAAUUGCCUACUUUUCAGAGCUGGGUGGCAAUUCAUAUACAGACCUACCACAUUCCGAGUACAUAUGUGUAUGUGUGAGUACAUGUAUAUUCCUGUGAGUGUGUGCAUUUGGGUGCAAGUGUGUGUGUGUGUGUGUGUGUGUGUGUGUGUGUGUGUACCAGAAGAGAACCUAAGCAAUUGUUCCUCAGGAAUCAUUUAUCUUGCUUUUUUAAAAGUCUUUUUUAUAUUCAUGAUGCACUUGAUGAUAUACAGGGGUGAGCAGUGCACCCAGGACUUGCCAUACAAAUGGAAAAGAAAGGAUGGCUUUAAGAAGGUUGCUCUUUCUGUCAACCUUUCCAUGUGUUCCAGAUACUGGACUGAGAGCAUCAGACCUGAAAAGCAGGCCCUUCACCUGCUGAGCCAUCUUUCUAGGCCCAGGACAGACUUGUGAGCUUCCUUCCUCGCCUCUUCAGCACGUGGUUUUCAUCCUGUACUGCCUCAAAAACUAGGAUGGCCACAAGUGUUUUACUUAGGGUUUUGCUGCUGUGAUCAGACACCACAAAUAAUAAACGUCUUAUAAAGGACAGCAAUUAACUGGGGCUGGCUUACAACUUCAGUCAUUAUCAACAAGUCGGGAACAUGGCGGCAUUAAGCCCACACCCACAGGCACACACCUACUCCAAUGAGGCCACACGUCCUAAUAGUGCCACUCCCUGGGCCAAGCAUAUACAAGCCAUCACAACAUACAAGGAGCUGACCAAGUAGUCUAGGCUGGGCAGCCAGCAAGCUCCAGGAAUCUUCCUGUCUCUACCUCCCAGCUGGUGUUACCAGGGCAGACUUUAUUGUUUUAAAUGUGAGUUCUGGUGGAAAUAGAGUUCUUAUGCUUGAGUAGUUAGUAUACAUAAUGCUCAACUCUCACCACUGCCAAAAAUACCAUAUUUUGCUGAUGCAUUCUUCAAUUGAUGACCAACUUUCUUAUGAAAAAUUUUUUGAAUAAUGAUGGAGCUUUGAAAAUAUCAAACACACGAGUUGAGAGAGAGAGAGAGAGAGAGAGCACACUGGUGGAGAAGCAGUGAUGUCAUAACACAGAAAGCGCUGGCUGAACUUAGAGGCUCCCUCUGCCUUGUCUUCAGAGCUAUACAUAUCAGCUCUGUUCAACUACUUGAAAUUUCAUGAACUCACCUUUGAGACAUGUUAUGUCCAUCCCUCUGCCUGAACUAUUUCCUUCUAGGCCUUACCACCACUCUAAGUCUAUUUUGGAAUCUCACAUAGUAGAUUUCGUACUCCAAGAACAUUUCUCUGACAUAUGACUCACCUGUGGUUCCCAAUUUCAGGUACUCUCACAACAUGUGCAGUAACACGGCUUUGAUCUACCUACACACCACACUACACCACCACUAGGCUGUGAUCUCAUGGGCAAAAGCUAUGGCAUUCCCCACAUGUGCCAUGUGGCUUGGGGCAAUGCCCAGUGUCUGGAAGGAGCUUGCUAAGUUGAAGUAAUAUUUGAACAAAGGGAUAGUGUACACUGUCAAAAACAUCAGUCCGGAUAGGCAUCACAGUACACACCUUUAAUCCAAGCACUUAGAGGCUGAAGCAGGAAGAUUAUCACAUCAACGCCAGAGAAUGAGCUUGUCUCAAGAAAAAAAAAAAAAAAAAAAAAAGGAGCAACAAUAACAAUACUCCUUUGAAACCUUGAAUGCUGAGAAAGAAAAAGGGCUGAGCAGAUGGUGGCUGCCUUUUCUACGUGCUGGCGGUUGCAUUUCCUCAGAGAAGAAUGUGUCUUAAAAAAAAAAAUAAGUGAGAACUAGCGUAAGUGAUGUUUGUCAAAACAUAUUUGUCUUUCUAGAAAAUGUCGCGAAUGAGUCUUUAGAAAUGAUUAAAUUAUCAGCUCUCUCAUUUUCUUUCUUUGUCCACACUGUGUACUCCACACUCAGUGAUAAUUUCUAAACACAACUGAAAUAGGCUGUUUGCAGAGCCACACUGAUGGAGAGAUGCACAGUAGGAGCCAGGAUUUCCCAUCUAACCGAUCACUAGAAAUAGCCUCAAGAGGACUGUGGAGAUGGGUCCCUGGGUAGAGUCCUUGCCCUGCAAGCAGAAGUCUGAAUCCCCAGAAGCCACAGGAGGACAGAUGUAGACAUGCACGCUUCUGUAAUUUCAGCAGCCUUGUGGGGAGCUGGGAGGUGGAGACAGAAGCAUUGCCAACAGCUCACAGGCCAGCUAGAUUGGUGUACUCUGCAGCAAACAAGACACCCUGUCUCAAAAGGUAGGAUAUGAGGACAGAUAUCCAGUGUAUUCACUCACAUUGUAACUCACACACACACACAUGGGAAAUAAUAGAAGAAAUAGUCUCCUAACAGACAUUAGAAAGAAUAAAAAUGGUGUCUACUAUUUACUAGUAAUUGGUCUGCCCCCAUCACCUUCAAAGACCGGUUAACUCAGUUAAGAUUUUUUACUGUGCACACUUAUAGAAAAUCAAAGUUUUUAAGUACAUAUUGAACCCAUAGAGUUGUUACCUAGACUUGAGUAAAUGAAAUAGCCACACACAGAAAAUAAAAUUAGGUUUAUAACACUGUGCACUAAGUCUUUGAAUGGAAGUUCCCUUCAGGGUGUCACUGUAUAGAAGUAGCUGAUGCACAGAUAACUAAGUGAACUUGAUCUGUUGAAUGAAAGCAGGCAAUAGUCUCUUUCUCAGUUCACUUUCAAUAGCUUAUUUCUCAAUGUGUGAUUCCUUAAAGCAAUGGUGUAGUUUGUUUUCAUGAGACAAAUAUUGGGAUGUGGCCUUGAAUUGGCUCUCACUUUGAACUCAAAGCAUAUCUUAAGGCUGAUCCAAUGAUGAGCAAACACAGAAAUAUUGUUCCUUCAGAUCACCACGUUUAAGGUGUUCAUUAACCUUAAUCAUCAGGGCUCUUGGGAAGAAGCUGCAGGGCCAACUUUGACUGGUCCUGUGUUGUAUGAAGCUUGCUAGCAUCUAGGAAGCAUCGAGCUCACACAAAGGCCAAUCAGGGAGGUUUCCAUGGUAGCAGCCUUCUUUCUUUCUUUCUUUCUUUCUUUCUUUCUUUCUUUUUCUUGUCGGCACAUUUCUAGCAUAGAUCAGAUCUGAAUACUCACUGUGCUACUGCUUAAUGAAAAAGAAAUGGAAUAUUGAUAAUGCCAGCAGUCAGGCCUGCUUUCCAGGUGCCACACCAAGGAGAAGCAGGAUUAUCUGCUCAGCUUUCCUUUUCAACCAGUGAUCCGAUAAGGAGGCCUGGUGUCCCUUUGAUCUUGUAUGUUAAUGACCUCCAGUCAUCUCCUAUUAUUGCUAUAGAGACAAAUGGAUCUGCAUGAGAAGUACAGCUUUGUCAUCAAGGCUGCCUCUUAUAGUAGACAAGCUUGUAAGUCUCUGCCAGGGAGAAGUCAAUGUAGCAACAUGGAAAACCAAAAAGACAACAUUAAAGAAUGAAGGUGCUCAGUCCCUGCUAAGUCCGCGUAUGUAUUCAUUCUGCCCAGAUUCUCAACACCUGGGUUUUCUCAUGGUCCUUAUUACCUAACAUCAAUGCAUUGUGGAAUCACCUCUCUCUCGUUGUAAAUUAAUGAUUUCAUCUCUUAGCCACAACUAUGGGAUGGACUAUGUAGACUUCUUAUUCUACAAGAAGUCAGUAGGGAAGUUAAGGGCUACUCAGUCAUCCAACCAAAGAGGACUUACCAGGGCUAAACAUCGUCCUGCCGCUCACACCUUCCUCCUACUUAGACGAGGGUGCAGAAAGAACAUUCUUGAUCCAAUUUCAUUUAAUUUUCCUUUCUCUCUCUCAUGGGCUGGGAGAUCUGAAAAUACUUAUGAGCCAGUAUGCCUCCAGUACUUCUGUAUCAGUCACUUUAAUCAUGAAACCUGAACAAAUCAUGUCAUGGUUUUACUUACAGUUUUAAUCUUCAGUAUAAAUGGUGUAUGUGUGUGCUAUAUUCAUGAAGAUAUAUAAAAGCUGUCAUGUAGAAACUAUAUUUUAAAAAAUAUUUUAAAGGAGAAAACUAGGUAGAAUGUAGUACAGAAAUUAAUAGUUAUUUCAGCAUAAAUGUGGUUACUGAAGACCCAGGGUUGAGGUAUUAAAGUAAAUCAGAGACUAAAGGUUCUAGCUGGAAGUUGUCUAGAAAUUCCCAUAUAACUUUAGGGUAGAUGAUAUGGGAAUGUGGACAUUCUCAGUGCACAGAUAAAUUGAAGGUCAACAGAACUAGAAAUGCAGACCUAUACACUAACAGUACAGCAGUCGAAUGCUCAGCCAAUGAGAAGCAUGAGAUAGUAGGUACAGAGAUAGAACUUUCAGAAUCACACCUGAGGGAAAGCGGGGUAUACAUUCUGCCACCACGGUCAGAAACCUAACAGUGAGACCGACCAGUAUUUUAAAAGGAAGAAGCCGUACAUUUUUCCUGAAGUUUGUAAGCACCAUUGUUUUCCUAUUUAAGGAAUGACCAAAAGGUUUUUUGUUUAAUGGGUAAGAAAUUAGAAUUGUCCUGUGUAUAGAGGGCAGCCUUGAGUACAUGUGUUCUCUUUAUUUUGAACCAUUUCCUUUUAGUCUUUAACUUAUGAUAAGGUAAUCUGUUUAUUCCACCUGUCCACAGACUGAGGAACUAGGCAGGCCCUGUGCAACUGCAGAUCUCAGCAAUAGUCCCUUCUGUGACCAGGUUAGCACUAUUGAACCAGAGAUUCCUGCUAGCCAACUGCUUUGGUGCAGAAUAACAGCAGCACACCUUCCCAACCAAAAAGCCUGAGAGUGAACAUUCUAGUAGCCAUAGGUGCUAUUAACUGGGCUACCUAAAAUUCUAAGCUGGAUUGAUAGGUCAGGUAAGGUUUCUCUCCCACUGAAGCUAGCCAGGAAAGAUUGGGAAAAAUAGCUUUGUCUUCAUAUGUAUAGACAACAAAGUUCAAGCAUAAAGAUUCAAGGAAAUGUCACACCACCCAAAAAAAUGGGAAAGGAUGUGUAAUCAAGACAGAAAUAAAUAUUUCUAAAGAAUUCAAUAUAAUCUAAUUUAAAAAGAUAAAUGGUUAAAAAAAAACCUAAAUACUAACAAAAUGAAAUAAAAUUAAGCCACAAAGAAAUAAAGACAUUUUUUUCGAUAUUACAGCUAAAGAAUAUAAUGACUGAAAUGACAAACGUUUUAAAUGAACUUCAAAAGAAAGAAAACUCAACCAAUAACAGUAUACCUAGACAAACUGUGUUUCAUAAAUGGAGAAGAGAUUAAGAGUCUGCCCUCAUAGAGAAAGCAAAGAAAGACUGAAAAGUCCAUUGCUAGGAAUGGACUUUUAUUGCUAGGAAUCAAGCUUUACAAAGAAUAAAAAUUGUCACCAAUUUGAAACAAACCAUGGUCAGUAACAUGACAGAAAGCAAAUAUCACUAAAGUCAAAGAGUAAAUGUGUUGAGAAGAUGACACAGAAUCCAUUACUGGAUACUCAUAGAGAAGGCAAGAGUCUGGUGUCAGUGACUUAAAGGAUGGUUGAAGUGGGAAUUUCUGGUUUCGUUGGUUGGAGGCUCAGUUCUCAUGUGAUGUUUUUCUGGAAACUGCCUUAUAAGAGGAUGUUUUGCUGGGAACAGAUACAUGGUGUUCUUCUGGAAACUAUGUGGUGAAAGGGCAUGUGAUGUUUUGCUUGAGAGGGUACAUGAUGUUUGGAAAGAGUGUAAGUGUAAUUCAACAGACAGUGGACAACUCUCUGACAUUGGUUCACCUUGCUGGUCUUUGUUGGGCUUCGCUGACGAUGCUCUUCACUAAAAAAUCUCUUGCAUUGGUUCGCCUUGCUUUCUUCUCUGAUCUUCACUUGGAGUGACUUCAUAGAGAGAAAUGCACCAAAGAACAUCUGGUAGUGUUCCAGCUGCUUCUUGCCACUUUGGUGGACUUGUGCUGAUCAGCAGAGCCCUGUGGUUUCUUUUAAGCUGCUGCUGCUGAUUCAUUUUUGGUGUUUAGCUAGUAGACUGGAUGGCAGACAGCAAAGAUUGGAAUCACCCCAAGAAACAACUUCUUAACAGGCCCAUGUCCCCCUUGUCCUAUCAGCCGUUUUCCUCCCCUAUCUCUGGUUGGUGGGCUAUAAUGGAGGUUGAAGCAUUUAAGAACCCUUAUUAAAGUAGGUUUUCUAAAAUUCAAGCCAACAGAUGGUAGAAGUCCAUAAUUUCAUAUGAGAUCGAAAUUAACUUGCCAUAAACUCAAAAUAGAUGUUCAUUAGAGUUUUGAAGCAAUAUUUCUGGUAGCAAUGAAAGGAAGGGUCUUACAACAGAAAUGUAAUUGCAGAAAGAUAAGAAUAAGAGCCUGCCACCCGCGCACACACACAUGCAAAGAAGGAAGAAAGAAAUCCUCAAAUCAUUGUGAGACACAACAAAGAAAUAGGAAAGCAAGCAAAUUACAAAGAAAAAAGAAGAAUCAACAUUUUAACCAUCACUAACUACUUUAAAUGUAAAUGGAUUGCAAUCAAGAUCAAAAGGCAUAUUGUAAGUCUAAAUGGAUUUUAAAAGAAACAACAAGAUACAAUUUAUGGAUACAACUUAUGUUGUCUAUAGGGAAUUGACCUAGAUUUAGGGACAUGUGCUGAAUGUGAAGGGGUGUAAACAGAUGCAAUAUGCAAAUGAUUUUCAACAACCAAAAAAAAAAAGUUAGCUGACUGUAACCAUAUAUAUCUGAAAUGUCAACACUAUGAAGCAGAGGCAGUAAGACUGUGAACUGAAAGCCAGUGUUAGAUGAGACUUUAUCUCAAAAAGAAAAAAGCAAAUAAAUAGAGGAAAAAAGAGACAAAGAGGAAAUGAAGGAAUAAAGGAAAAUGGUAGCUGUGAGAUUAUAUAUAUAUAUAUAUAUAUAGAGAGAGAGAGAGAGAGAGAGAGUCAGAAUAUAUAUUUAUAGUCAGGAUGUAUAUAUAUGAUUUAAAAGAUCUAAGUCAAAAUCUGCUUUGAAGAGUCAGAGAGUGCCAUCAUAUUUUAAGGGGAUCAAAUCAAGGGGUUGGAUUAGCAUAUGAUACAUAUUAUGUGCUUAAUAGUCAAGGACCUUAAUAUGUUUAACAUUGCACAACCUAAAAGGAGAAAUGGAGAGCAAUACAAUCACUGUAGGACAUUAAUACUGCCAUUCCAAUAGACAGAUGUACAGACAGAUAACGAGUCAUGUGGUGAUAGACUUGAACAGCACUGGAGAUCUUACACGCGUUCUCGACCGGCCAGGAAAGACGCAACAAACCGGAAUCUUCUGCGGCAAAAGCUUUAUUGCUUACAUCUUCAGGAGCCAGAGACCAAGAGCAAGAGCUCUAUUGCUUACAUCUUUAGGAGCCAGAGAGCCAGAGAGCAAGAGAGCAAGAGAGCAAGAGAGCAAGAGAGCAAGGGAGAGAAUGGCGAAACCCCGUCCCUUUUUAAGGAGAAUUAUCCUCCGCCUAGGACGUGUCACUCCCUGAUUGGCUGCAGCCCAUCGGCCGAGUUGUCGUCACGGGGAAGGCAGAGCACAUGGGGUGGAGAACUACCCUUGGCACAUACGCAGAUUAUUUGUUUACCACUUAGAACACAGGAUGUCAGCGCCAUCUUGUAACGGCGAAUGUGAGGGCGGCUCCCCACACACGUGGUGAUAGACUUGAACAGCACUGGAGAUCUGUGGACCUCAGAGUGUCCUAUCCCACACCAACAGAGCACCUUUUUCAAAAAACAAUUUUAUUUGCUUUUAACAGUUUCUCUCCUUAUAGAAAAUUUCAAUGGCUUCAGCCCCAACCUCCUCCCAUUACCAUCUUUCCAUUACUUUCCAUCUACAUUAGUUAGGGUUUCUAUCUCUGUGAUAAAACACCAUGACAUCUUAAAAAUAACUUGUAGAAGAAAGGCUUUAGUUUAUAUGUCUAAGACAAGAACUUAGAGGCAGGAGGUGAAGCAGAAGCUAUGGAGGAGUGCUCCCUUUUGGCUUGCUCCCUGUGUCUUACUCAAUAGCACCCAAGGGCAACACCACUCCCAAUGAGGUGGGCCUUCCCAUAUCAAUCACCAAUUGAGAACACAGAGCACAGCCUUACCCACAGGCCAAUUCAGUAGGGGCAUUUCCUCAGUUGAGAUUUCCUCUUAAAAGACUCUAACUUGUAUCAAGUUGACAUAAAACUAACCAAGACACUACCCAACUAUAAGGUUAAUUAUUUUCUUCUUCUUCCUCCUCCUCCUCCUCCUCCUCCUCCUUCUCUUCUUUUCCCAUCAGUUUUACUUUGUGAUGCCCAGCUGUCCUAGGAAUUGGGCUUACCCAAUUCUUAGUAGGGUGUGUGAUCACCCUACUAAGAGUCAUAUCACUAAAGAACACAAUGUGUGUUUGCACAGCAACUGUCAAAUGCCCAGAGUUCCUCAGCUCUGGGAAUGCAGUAUACUCUUUAAAAAAUAAAUAUAUGACAAAGGCUUGAAGCAAAAGCUGAAAGAAUUAGAUGUGACUUGGCUUGAGGGGCAGGGCCAGGUGUGAUGAGGCAGCUAAGGGCUGCAAUUCUUGAGGCAGGGUGUUGUGACUUCUUUAAACAUAAAGCUUUUAGAGCUUUUGAACAUUUAAUUCAGAGUAACAAACAAACAUUAAACUUUAGAAAGAACACAUAUCAAUGUUCUAAGGCUGUCCUGAGCAGUGGUUCGAGUGUAGUGUGUCACUUCAGGGCCGUGUAGCUCUGAGUCUGGGACCGUCAGUUCUGGUCAUGGGCCACAUCUACACCAUGAACUGCUGUGUUCCCAUCUCUGACACCACUUAGGCCUGGUCCAUGUAUGUUGAGUGGAAAAUGAAUAAACAGAAGCAAAACUGUGAUAAUAGCAGAGAUGUUUUCACACAGGGCACUACUUAAAUCAGGAGCUCCAGAAGUGGCCAGAGAGAUGUGGGAUGGGACAGACAGUCGGGAAGACAAUGAGGAAUUGUUAGUUGUCCCAAUGAAAAGCAUUGCAUGCCUUGGAGGGCCAGAAUACAGCCAACUCCGAUGAUCACAUGGAUCGUAAUGGUCCCUUGCUGAGUCCCCGCCUCCCUCCUGAAAGAACACAUGUUCCCUCCGGUGUUCAAUGUGUCAGCUUGAUGUUUGGCACCUGUGUGCUUUGAGAAGUUCCAAGUGAUUAAAGUUAAGGAAAACCAGCCAUGAGUUUUAUUGAGGGAAAUUCAGAUUGAAUUCUCUCCAGGAAAACAUCACCAUAAAAUCAGGUAGGUUGGAGAGAGUAGUUCUCAGUGGAAACGAAUCACUUGCAACUGGUUUAGGCAUGUGUCGGGAGAUGUGCUAAAGGAAAACUCUCUGAAGUUGAUUAUUGGCCUGCCUUCGUGGAUAAAUCACUCAGAGAUUUGUGAUUUAGAACCAGGAAGAAAACACAUUCCCUCAUGACCUCAUGACGGAAUUCAUUCCGAAAGGCUUGCACAAUUUGCCUGUUCCCUAGGGAUGGGUGGAGGGACUUGUAACCUUGAAAAUAUUCUUGUAUGGAGUACAGGAAAAUGUUAUAUACUUCCACAUGAAGAGUAACACUGGAAAAGCUUUUGUUGCUGCUUAUUUGAUUUGCUCAGAUAUUUAAAAAAAAAAAACUUUAAUGUCAGCUGAUGAUGCUAAUAGCUAAUUAUCUGCCAGUUACAUCACUAAUUAUGUACUUAGUCCUCUAUCUCUGCUGUGUUCUCUGUUCUUGCUGUCAACUUCUACCUCAUUCACAUAGUUUAGAUCAUAUUUUCAGCCAGUGUUGAAACUACCCUACUAACCUGGAAACGGGAUCAAAAACAUUCCCUAAUGUUCAAGGUGAUUCAAGAAUAGAUGAAUGAACUAGAAGUUUUCCCAAAGUAUUAAAGACUUAGCUACAUACACAGGGCUAUGUAACUUGUGAGACCCAAAUGAAAGAUAUUAGGAGGGCCCUUUGUUAAAAUAAAUGAUUAACAAUUAAAAAAUGGUGACUGUGGAUCAUUAAUUCAAGUCUAGGACCCUUCAGAGCCCUGAGUACAGUGUGACACGUGGCACACACACCCAGAAAGCCUACUCGGGAUCUGUGGGACUAGCUUCACUGAAAAUAACUAAGAAAUCUCUAGUGAAUAAUAAAUUAUGACUAUGUCUUAAGAUAUGACCACCUAAUGUAUAACAUUACAUUAGGCUUCAGCAGUUCUAUUUGUAAGCUAAAUUGUAUUUCAACAUAACUCUGCAUGGUGUUUGCAAACAGAUGCAUUUUCUAGCACUGCUAAUACCUAGAAUUAGAAAACGUUUGAGCCCAUUUUCCAUGUAAGCAAGAAUCUUUUCAGAAUCUGAGUCUCUGCUACCUAUUCAAUAGCAAGUCUAGGCAAACUCACCACAUCACGAUCUCAUAACUACACCUACGUACCCACUAUUGUUUACCCCACAAGUGGAGACUCAUGGGCUAAACAAAUGACUGAGUCCAUGAACAACCACCACCACAACAAAAAAGAAACUUCCAGCAAUAAAUCAGGUCCUUGUGGAGUCAGUACUGGGCAGAAAGUCCACGGAGCCUUCAAAAUAGUACUUGAGUUAACCAUAUCUACAGGCAGUUCAGUCAACACGUGAGCAGAUAGACUUGCCUGUGAAGUGCCAUCAGAAGCAUCAGAGGGUUAAGCGAUGCAAUGGGUCAAGAUGCUGGUGUCCAUACUCUAUGCUAUCCAGGACUCAGGCUGUUGCCUGGCAAGAAUAGAGUCCUUAUAGGUUAAGUACACAUAUGGUAUAACUGUUUCUUAAGAGAUAAGUCAUGGCCUCCUCCAAAGGAGCGUUUUAUCCCCACGGUGGUUUCCCCUCUCCUCAAAGGAAGUCAUAAAAUGUGAUCCUUGAGUUUUAUAAGACAUCCAAUCUUGUGUUAAAACUUCACUAAAAGUGAUUUAUCUUGCAUUUUUGCAACAUUUCUACAUCUCACACGAUUUCCAUAAUGAUCAUGUGAGUUGCCUUUAUAUUAAGAGGGGGAAAACUUUAUAGAGAGAUUUCAUGCCUAAACCAUUUUUGGUUUCUAAGCAUAUUAAAGGCUUUCCAGGAUCCUGUUCCCAUCCGUCAGAGGCUAACCUCUGGAGCAGUAGCCGAGCCAGCUAAGCAAGUUAAGAACUGAACUUCUGAGGUGGUGUCCCAGCUUCUCCACUGCUCAACCUCCUGGGCCUCAGCAUUCUCCUCCGUAAAAAUGAUAUAAACAGAACACCUUCCACUAAAGAAGGGCUUCCAUAAAGCAUAGUCGCUACCCUUCCAAGUGUAGCUGGCUACACACCACUAUAGCACAUAAGUCUAUAUGUGUGUCUUACAAGCUAAAAGCCUCUUUCUUUUUAUUUUUUUAUUUAUUCACUUUACAUCCCAAUAUCAGCACCCCCUCCUCCCAGUAUCCCCUCUCACAGAUUCCAUCUCCCAUUCCUCCCUCUUCAUCAGAAUCAGAGACAGCCCCUGCUCCAGUUGUUGGGGACCUGCAUGAAGACCAAGCUGCACAUCUAUCACAUGUGUGCAGGGGCCUAGGUGCAGCCCAUGCUCUCUCUUUGGUUGGUAGUACAGUCUCUGGGUGCCCACAAAGGUUCAGGUUAGUUAACUCUGUUGGUCAUUAUGUGGAGUCCCUGUUCUCAAUGGGUCUCUCAAUCCUUCCCCCAACUCUUCCAUGAGACUCCCCGAGCUCCACCUAAUGUUUGACUCUGAGUCUCUGCAUCUCUUUCCAUUGGCUUCUGGGUAGACUCCCUCUGAGGGCAGUUAUGCUAGGCUCCGGUCUGCAAGCAUAACAGAGUAUCAAUAGUAUAAGGGAUUGAUUCUUGCCCAUGGGAUAGGUCUCAAUUUGGGCUAGUCAUUGGCUGGCCUUUCCCUCCAUCUCUACUCUUUGUUCCUGCACAUCUUGUAGGCAGGACACAUUUUGGAUAUAAAGUUUUGUGGUUAGGUUGCUAUCCUUAUCUCUCCACUGGGAGUCAUUCUUGGCUACAGGAAUAGCAAAAGCCUAACUUUCAAGUCACUUUCAAGUUAUCUAAAUUUGAAUAGUAACCUUUUAAUCUUCUUAAAUAAUCAGAAAACUAAAAAGGCUCCUGAUGGUACAAUAGCUACUGUGUCCAUUUAGGAUAAAUAAGGAUAACAGCCAGAAAAGGAAGGGCUGACAUGUGAACCUCACUCUUGUCACUGCCCCAGCUCAUGAUCUUUGUGGCAAGAAGAUCUUUGUUCAAGUGCCCAAGUGAAGUACUAAAUUUGAGGUCAGUUUGUUUUAACUCUUCAUCAAUAUGCGAUAUGCAGUCACUAUCCAAAGUGGAUCAUACACACACACACACACACACACACACACACACACACACACAGAAUUUGAAAAUGUUCUUCCUUGCACUUUACAAAUGGAAAGCCAGUUUCCAAGUAACUCUUGAUUCUCAGCUUCUAUGUUAAUAGGCACAGUGCCUUUGAACCACUCCCUGGCUUUAGGAAACCACACACCUGUUCUUGUAUCCAUAUCCCUGGCCCACAUUUCGUGGUUCAUCUGUUUAGCCUCAUUUUCUUAUCUUCCCCUUGAAACAUAACCCUUUUGGAGCUCUUCCAUGAACCCUUUUCCUGAAGUUUUAUUAUGCACUCUCAUAAAGAUGGUCACAGUCCAUUCUGAGUUCCCACUAUCAUCGUGAUGUCAGUGUAGCCACUUCUGCCCCAUGUAACCAAAGGCCUUCAGGACUCCCCUUGUACAUCAUCUGGUUACCUCAAACCGAGCAUGUCCCGACAAAAUCCUCAUCCCCUGAAGGCAGCAUCCUCACGGCAUUAUUUCCCAUCUCAGGAAACGGCAACCCUCUCUGCCUGGCUCACCAAGCCAGGAAUCUAUGAUUAAUCCUUAACUCACCUCACAGGCUUCACACAUAAGCCCAGUCAAUCACCAAGUCCUCUCAUCCUAUUUCCAAAAACAGUACUUUUUUAUAUUUAAUUUUUACUAUGAAUUGAAAAACCACAUUAUGUGUCAUGACCUAGCCAGGAUGUGUGUGUGUGUGUGUGUGUGUGUGUGUGUGUGUGUGUGUUGGUCACACAUGCAUCUCCUUAUGACUGAAACUUCUUUUUUGCAAGCCAGUUUAGAUCAUCAAAUGUAAGUAAGUCCAUCUGGCUCUUUUCUUCUGAUAUCUUGUGUUUUGUUUUAAAUGUUUGUGACUGGUGGUUAUUGGCAAAUACUGAACAACCAGUGCUUCAGGGAACUGGGGAAAGAACUCCUGAUGUAGUGCUUGCCCUUGUGUAAACAGCCUCACUAUGGUUGAAUGAAAGCAACCAUGUAACUGGCUCACAAAUUUCCUAAAUGUGUAAUAAUUACUCCUCACUACCAUCUCCAGCAUGUCACCACUUUUGACCUACACCUUGAUAGAUACUGAUUAUAUAAUAUAUAUACAUAUAUAUUAUAAUAUAUAUACAUUGAAACUGCCCAUUAAAUUUUCAUUUCCAUUGGUACCAUUUCCGUCUAGGCCACCACUAUUCCGGAUAGAACUGGCUUUCAGUUCCAUCUGUCCACAUUUAUUUAAUGUGCUUCAAAGACUUCUUGCUUGCCACAUUUGAUAGAAUCUAACUUUUGAAUAAUUUAAGAAGACCACCACCUCAACAGAGGAAUGGAUACAGAAAAUGUGGUACAUCUACACAAUGGAGUACUACUCAGCUAUUAAAAAGAAUGAAUUUAUGAAAUUCCUAGCCAAAUGGAUGGACCUGGAGGGCAUCAUCCUGAGUGAGGUAACACAUUCACAAAGGAACUCACACAAUAUGUACUCACUGAUAAGUGGAUAUUAGCCCAAAACCUAAGAUACCCAAGAUAUAAGAUACAAUUUCCUAAACACAUGAAACUCAAGAAAAAUGAAGACUGAAGUGUGAACACUAUGCCCCUCCUUAGAAGUGGGAACAAAACACCCUUGGAAGGAGUUACAGAGACAAAGUUUGGAGCUGAGAUAAAAGGAUGGACCAUGUAGACACUAGCAUAUCCGGGGAUCCAUCCCAUAAUCAGCUUCCAAAUGCUGACACCAUUGCAUACACUAGCAAGAUUAUGCUGAAAGGACCCUGAUAUAGCUGUCUCUUGUCAGAGUAUGCCUGGGCCUAGCAAACAUAGAAGUGGAUGCUCACAGUCGGCUAUUGGAUGGACCACAUGGCCCCCAAUGAAGGAGCUAGAGAAAGUACCAAAGAAGCUAAAGGGAUCUGCAACCCUAUAGGUGGAACAACAUUAUGAACUAACCAGUACCCCGGAGCUCUUGACUCUAGCUGCAUAUGCAUCAAAAGAUGGCCUAGUCGGCCAUCACUGGAAAGAGAGGCCCAUUGGACACGCAAACUUUAUAUGCCCCAGUACAGGGGAACGCCAGGGCCAUAAAAGGGGAGUGGGUGGGUAGGGGAGAGGGGGUGGGUGGCUAUGGGGGACUUUUGGUAUAGCAUUGCAAAUGUAAAUGAGCGAAAUACCUAAUAAAAAAUUGAAAAAAAAAAAAAAGAAGACCACCACCCACAGUUUUACACCAACCCCCUCCUGUGCCCCUCCCUGAUCUCAGCAAAAAUAAUAAUAAUAAUAAUAACUAUCUUAGACUGUUCCCUUUUUCUUGGGUCUUUGGAUAGUCCUUUUAGCUAAAAAGUUCUUUCCUCCCGUCUUUAUUCAACUAAGUGUUCCUCAUCCGGCACAGCUGAGACUUGCAGUCAGGUGCCUGCAGUAUAACAAGCAUGUUGGGAACUGCUAAGGUGACAAAGGAGGAUAAGGACAGAUACAACUUCUCGCCUCACAAAAUGUGUGCUCUGCUUCAAGUAAAGUUAGGACUCAAGUUUAAGCACUAAUAAAAGAGCUUAAAACAAAACAAAACAAAACAAAACAAAAAACAAAACUGUGUUCUCUAGGAACUUACUGUAUUUGAAUCAACCUGACGGGUUGGGGUGGGAGAGGAGACUUUCCUGAGUAAAGUAAUGGCUGCUUAUUUAUCACAGAACUAGGAUAUCUGAAGAUAAAUACAAGUUCACUAGUCCUUGACAUGGGUAACUACCAGCAUAGGUAGGAAGAGGCUCACAUGAAAAUCCACAUGGCAAGAAAGAACGUGGAAAAUCAGGGGACCAGAUGAAAUUCAGUGUAGCUAGACUCCACAGAGCAGCAGGAGAAAGGAGUCAAAGAGAAGGAAACAGACAAGUAGAGGCCAUUGUGAAUCAGGUGUCUACACUUGCUGUGCAUGACAAAGAUAUGAAUCGAGGACCAUUGACCAUAGGGUUAAAGGUCAAUGCGCUCAUAUUUGUGGUAAGAAAAGUCAUGUUGCCCACUGUGACAAUUAGAAAAGUAGGGGAGAAAAGAGAAGCCCAAUGUAGAAACUUGCAGUUUCUGGAGGGAGAAAUCUUCACACAAAUUAAAAUGGUGAUAGAUAUGAAAACAAAUCAACGUGUUGCAGAGAUGGUUGAGGUAACCUCCAUCAGACCAUGCAUGAUGAAAGGGGGAGACGUACACAGGGGUAUGAGUUGCAAAAGGGAACCAGUCUCAGAGUUGAGGAAUUCGGGAGGUCUGUCCAGAAAUAGGAAGAACUUCGGCUGCAGACAGACCGAGUUGGAAUCAGAGUUAAGAUUUACAAAGUGACUUGCUUUGGGAUCUGAGACUAUUUUCUAGAGCACAGAAGAGAGAACUAGGUAGGGAAACAAGUUUGUGAAAUAUCUAUGUGUGUGAUAGGUGGGAAGCCACAGCCAUGGAUUUAUCAACAGAAUGCAUAGCAUUAAAGAGGCAAUUAUAAACUAAGCUUCAAGGGGUGUCCAGGCCUGAAGAAAUGGCUCAGUGGGUAAAAGAGCUGACUGCUGUAGCAGUGGACCUAGGUUCAGUUCCCAGCAUGCACUUCGUGACUCAGAACCUCUAUAACACUGGUCCAAUGAGUCUAAGAUCUUCUUCUGGCCUCUGAAGGCCCCAGACAAGCACAUGUUGCACUUACAUGCCUGCAAACCAACCAUCAUUACACUGAAAGUAAAACCGUGAAGUCCAUAUUUAAUGGUAGAAUACUGAAUGAAUUUACAGAGAGAGAAAAAGAAUAGUCAGUUUGUCAGGGGACAAAAGGAAAGAGAAAUGGUGAUCAAACCAGCAAGCAUGCUGUAUUGGGACAUCAAGAAUGAAGCUUAGGGACUGGAGAAAUGGCUCAAUGGGUAAGUGCACUUUUCCAGAAGACCCAUGUUCAAUUUGUAGCAUCCACAUAGCAGCUCACCACUAUGUGUAACACCAGUUCCAGGGGUUUGAUGACCUCUUCUAGCACUGUACACACAUGGUGCACAGACAUAUAUUUAGGCAAAAUACUCAAGCACAUAAAAUAAAUAAAAUAAGGAAUAUUUAAAAAUUCUGUGUGUGUGUGUGUAAAACAUAUUUCUAAAAGCAUUAAGUUAUGUUAGCAGAGGAACAAUACAAAGUAAGGACAGGAAGUUAGUAAGUAUUCACCAGUUAUGAAUUUGCCUUGGAUAGAAGGAGAGACAAAGAACAAUGGUUAUGAAAUUGUUGAAAGCAUUUUUAUUGCACAUUGAUGAAAGUCAUUUGAACAUAUCGGCUAUGAAGAAAGGCUUGAAAGAGAGUUGAAUACAGAAGAGAAUUCACAAGGAUGACUAGUCGUACAUAAGCAAUCUUUUCAACAGCAGAGAAUAAUCCCUAUGACCCACAGCACUCCUCUCCUGGCCUUUGUCAUUGUGCUGAGUCUUAGCCGUUAACAGCAGAGCCAUCUCUCUAGCUCCUGACCUUUGAAAUUGUGCCCUGACUUGCAAGUGCUCUUGUAAUUGCUUGGCCUCUCACUAGACUGUGCUCACAAGGACAGGCAUCUCCUCUGCCUCAUUUACUGCUGGGUCUCUGCAAAGUGCUCAGAUGGAAGUCACAGAUAAACAUCAGUUUUUUAACUUGUAAGUUUCAAAUAAAUGCAUUAGAAGUAUAUGUAAUACAAUGCAUAAUUCAGAAGUCUUAUAAUGCUAAUUAAUAUGCACAUAUGUGUACAUAGAUAGAUAUACACAUGCAUGCAUGCACACACACAUUCACCAUGGUUGUCGAUUUCAGCGGAUAAAAAUCUUUAACAUAAGUUGUUGUUGCCUUAAGCAUAGAUAUUUGGGCACUUAGAUGAGAAAACUUAAAAAAUGAGACAGCAAUUGAAAGCGAACCAAGAACUAAGAACUCCCGACUCACAGAUGAGCAAGGCCAUGAGUCAUCUUUGUGCAGAGAAUUUAACUGUGAUAAUAUCAAGGAAGCAAAUGAUGAAAUCACAACCUGUUAGAACAAGGGGAUACAUCAUUCACACUAAUCCAGGUGUAAGCCCAAAUAACAGGACUUCUGCAUCUGUAUCUGGAAUGAUUUGAUGACCUACAAAGUCAAAAAAAAAAGAGAGCAGAGAAAUAUGAAUAUUUUGAGACAAUACCGUGUGCCUUAGGGAAAGCAAGUCCAGACAACAAAAAGGAGAUCAAGGAUGGGUGGGAGAGGGGCUCUGGGGGCCCCACUCCUAAUUGGGUUGCUGAUGGGGGGGUAGAGGGUGGGUUUUCUGUAGCCACUGUUAAGGUCUCCAUGCACCAGCAAACUCCCCCCACCACCACCAUACACACACACACACAUACACACACACGUUCAUGCAAGCAAUCCUAAUCACUCAACAUAAACGGAGAAAUGAGACAUAAAAGGACGAAUGGGACUUGAUGGGAACAAAAGGUCCAGAAAGAAUGGAAGGGGUUAAAAAA